This 253-nucleotide ribosomal RNA is filed under the name uncultured bacterium. RNAcentral's name for it is "partial 16S ribosomal RNA". It matches the Rfam family "Bacterial small subunit ribosomal RNA", at positions 524 to 776 of the family's 1533-position model. The record is from RNAcentral.
UACGUAGGGUGCGAGCGUUGUCCGGAAUUAUUGGGCGUAAAGAGCUCGUAGGUGGCGUGUCGCGUCUGCCGUGAAAGCCCAUGGCUUAACUGUGGGUCUGCGGUGGAUACGGGCAGGCUAGAGGCUGGUAGGGGCAAGCGGAAUUCCUGGUGUAGCGGUGAAAUGCGCAGAUAUCAGGAGGAACACCGGUGGCGAAGGCGGCUUGCUGGGCCAGUUCUGACGCUGAGGAGCGAAAGCGUGGGGAGCGAACAGG